This 274-nucleotide ribosomal RNA is filed under the name uncultured bacterium. Its description in RNAcentral is "partial 16S ribosomal RNA". It matches the Rfam family "Bacterial small subunit ribosomal RNA", at positions 523 to 796 of the family's 1533-position model. The record is from RNAcentral.
AGACGGAGGGGGCUAGCGUUGUUCGGAAUUACUGGGCGUAAAGCGCGCGUAGGCGGUCCGUUUAGUUAGGCGUGAAAGCCCUGGGCUCAACCCGGGAACUGCGUUUAAAACUGGCGGACUAGAGUCCGGGAGAGGGUGGCGGAAUUCCCAGUGUAGAGGUGAAAUUCGUAGAUAUUGGGAAGAACACCAGUGGCGAAGGCGGCCACCUGGCCCGGUACUGACGCUGAGGCGCGAAAGCGUGGGGAGCAAACAGGAUUAGAAACCCUAGUAGUCC